CCCUUAGAUGUUCUGGGCUGCACGCGCGCUACACUGAUGCACUCAACGAGUUUACGACCUUGCCCGAUAGGGUUGGGUAAUCUUUUUAAAAUGCAUCGUGAUGGGGAUAGAUUAUUGCAAUUAUUAAUCUUCAACGAGGAAUUCCUAGUAAGCGCGAGUCAUCAGCACGUGCUGAUUACGUCCCUGCCCUUUGUACACACCGCCCGUCGCUCCUACCGAUUGAGUGCUCAGGUGAAUAAUUCGGACUGCAGCAAUGUUUGGAUCCCGAACGUUGCAGCGGAAAGUUUAGUGAACCUUAUCACUUAGAGGAAGGAGAAGUCGUAACA
Molecule: ribosomal RNA, 326 nt
Filed under: uncultured eukaryote
Lineage: Eukaryota
Description: partial 18S ribosomal RNA
Rfam family: Eukaryotic small subunit ribosomal RNA
Source: RNAcentral